UACGGGAGGCAGCAGUGGGGAAUAUUGGACAAUGGGGGGAACCCUGAUCCAGCCAUGCCGCGUGUGUGAAGAAGGCCUUAUGGUUGUAAAGCACUUUAAGCGAGGAGGAGGCUACUGAGACUAAUACUCUUGGAUAGUGGACGUUACUCGCAGAAUAAGCACCGGCUAACUCUGUGCCAGCAGCCGCGGUAAUACAGAGGGUGCGAGCGUUAAUCGGAUUUACUGGGCGUAAAGCGUGCGUAGGCGGCUUUUUAAGUCGGAUGUGAAAUCCCCGAGCUUAACUUGGGAAUUGCAUUCGAUACUGGGAAGCUAGAGUAUGGGAGAGGAUGGUAGAAUUCCAGGUGUAGCGGUGAAAUGCGUAGAGAUCUGGAGGAAUACCGAUGGCGAAGGCAGCCAUCUGGCCUAAUACUGACGCUGAGGUACGAAAGCAUGGGGAGCAAACAGGAUUAGAUACCCUGGUAGUCCAUGCCGUAAACGAUGUCUACUAGCCGUUGGGGCCUUUGAGGCUUUAGUGGCGCAGCUAACGCGAUAAGUAGACCGCCUGGGGAGUACGGUCGCAAGACUAAAACUCAAAUGAAUUGACGGGGGCCCGCACAGGCGGUGGAGCAUGUGGUUUAAUUCGAUGCAACGCGAAGAACCUUACCUGGCCUUGACAUACUAGAAACUUUCCAGAGAUGGAUUGGUGCCUUCGGGAAUCUAGAUACAGGUGCUGCAUGGCUGUCGUCAGCUCGUGUCGUGAGAUGUUGGGUUA
Molecule: ribosomal RNA, 751 nt
Filed under: uncultured bacterium
Lineage: Bacteria
Description: bacterial SSU rRNA
Rfam family: Bacterial small subunit ribosomal RNA
Source: RNAcentral